UACGGGGGGGGCGAGCGUUGUCCGGAUUUACUGGGCGUAAAGCGCGUGUAGGCGGUCGUUUAAGUCCGGGGUGAAAGGCGGGGGCUCAACCCCCGCACUGCGCUGGAAACUGGACGGCUGGAGUGUCGGAGAGGGGAGUGGAAUUCUCGGUGUAGCGGUGAAAUGCGUAGAGAUCGAGAGGAACACCCGUGGCGAAGGCGGCUCCCUGGCCGAACACUGACGCUGAGACGCGAAAGCGCGGGGAGCGAACGGGAUUAGAUACCCCAGUAGUCC
RNAcentral lists this ribosomal RNA (273 nucleotides) under uncultured bacterium. RNAcentral's name for it is "partial 16S ribosomal RNA". It matches the Rfam family "Bacterial small subunit ribosomal RNA", at positions 524 to 796 of the family's 1533-position model. The record is from RNAcentral.